Molecule: ribosomal RNA, 315 nt
Filed under: uncultured eukaryote
Lineage: Eukaryota
Description: partial 18S ribosomal RNA
Rfam family: Eukaryotic small subunit ribosomal RNA
Source: RNAcentral
CCCUUAGACGUUCUGGGCCGCACGCGCGCUACACUGACCAGUGCAACAAGCAUCCGUCCUUGGACGACAGGCUCGGGCAAUCUUUGAACGCUGGUCGUGAUGGGGAUAGACUUUUGCAAUUUUUGGUCUUCAACGAGGAAUUCCUAGUAAACGCAAGUCAUCAACUUGCAUUGAUUACGUCCCUGCCCUUUGUACACACCGCCCGUCGCACCUACCGAUUGAAUGGUCCGGUGAAGCCUCCGGAUUGGCGCGCACCUCGGUGCCGCCGAGAAGUUGGCUAAACCUUACCAUUUAGAGGAAGGUGAAGUCGUAACA